This 253-nucleotide ribosomal RNA is filed under the name uncultured bacterium. RNAcentral's name for it is "partial 16S ribosomal RNA". It matches the Rfam family "Bacterial small subunit ribosomal RNA", at positions 524 to 776 of the family's 1533-position model. The record is from RNAcentral.
UACGGAGGGGGCUAGCGUUGUUCGGAAUUACUGGGCGUAAAGCGCACGUAGGCGGAUUUGUUAGUCAGGGGUGAAAUCCCGAGGCUCAACCUCGGAACUGCCUUUGAUACUGCAAAUCUCGAGUCCGGAAGAGGUGAGUGGAAUUCCUAGUGUAGAGGUGAAAUUCGUAGAUAUUAGGAAGAACACCAGUGGCGAAGGCGGCUCACUGGUCCGGUACUGACGCUGAGGUGCGAAAGCGUGGGGAGCAAACAGG